This 328-nucleotide long non-coding RNA is filed under the name Salvia miltiorrhiza (redroot sage). Its description in RNAcentral is "long non-coding RNA (SMIL_LNC001265)". Lineage: Eukaryota; Viridiplantae; Streptophyta; Magnoliopsida; Lamiales; Lamiaceae. The record is from RNAcentral.
CCGCGAAUUCCGUGAAUGUGUGAGUAAUAGAAGCGUACAGAGGAACGGAAGGAGAUGUGAAAGAAACCCUAGUUUUUGGGCGAGGGACGUGCAAUCGGAAGCAAAAUGCAGAAAAAAUUUAUCACUGUUUUACUGCUUUGUUCGAUUCUCUGGUUAAUCUCACUCUUCACCAAUGAUUCUUAGCAAAAAUCCAAGGCCACGAAUUUCAGCGUCGGAAUGUCAACAAGUUCAGCAGAGAUCUCCUUCAAAUCUACUCAGGAAAGAUGAAGGUGCUCGAUCAUCUUGCAGGUUGAUGAUUCAUGACAUUCCAAAUUUAUGUGGGCUUAAA